AGAUGGUGGCACCUUGGGGACGGGAGGGGACAGCACUGAGCCGGGAGGGGACAGCGGGGACACGGGAGGGGACGGCGACGGCACUGGGGGUGGCACCGUGGGGACGGGAGGGGACACCAGCGACAUGGGAGAGGUCAGCGGUGACACGAGGGGGGACGGCGGUGACACAGAGGAUGUCCCCAGUGGCGCUGGAGAUGCCACCACUGAGCUGGGACAGGUCACAAGUGGCACGAGAGGGGACACCAGUGACACGAGAGGUGACACCGGUGACACAGAGGAUGUCCCCAGUGGCGCUGGAGAUGCCACCAUGGGGACAGGAGGUGCCACCACCGACCUGGGACAGAACACCGGUGACACGAGAGGGGACGUCCAUGACACGAGAGGGGACGCCGAUGACACGAGAGGUGACAUCAGUGACACGAGAGGUGACACAGGGGACGUCCCCUUUAGCUCUGGAGGUGGCCCCGUGGGGACAGGAGAUGCCACCGCUGACCCAGGACAGGCCACCGCCACCGGGGGAAGAGGUGACAGCGGUGACACAAAGGAGGCCACCACCCGGACGGGACAGAGCGACGGUGACACGGGAGGUGACACCGGUGACAGAAGAGGUGACACUGGUGACCCAGGAGGUGACACCCAUGACAUGGGAGGUGACACUGGUGACCCAGGAAGUGACACCGGUGACAGAAGAGGUGACACCGGUGACCCAGGAGGUGACACCGGUGACAGAAGAGGUGACACCGGUGACCCAGGGGACGUCCCCUUUGGGCUCGGCGGGACGUGGGGUGUCCCCACGGACACGGGAGCUGCCACCUCUGUCACUCCCAGCGUCAUCUCCCCCCCUGGUGGCACUGAUGUCCCCAGCGGUGCCACCAAGGACCCAGGGGACGCAGCCCCCAGAGAUGCCACCACCGUCCCACGCGGUGUCACCUCCGCCGCCGGUGACAUCGGUGUCCCCAGCCCGGACACGAGGGGCACCGCCCCCCAUCCCGCCCCGGGGGGGACAAGGGGGACGAGCCCCCGUGUCCCCAACGCUGACGGUGGCGGGCGCCGAUGUCCCCAAGGUCGGGGGACACGGAGAGGAGGGGGUGGCCCCGGUGGCCCUUGGGGACGUCCCCCCCCAAAAGGGGUCCCCAGGGAUGGCCCCGAGGGGGUCCCCGCUGAUGGCCCCCGAGUGGCACCCAGAGGUGACCCCGAAGGUGACACCGGAGAUGUCCCCAAUGUCCCCAGAGAGGGAGCAGGUGGCCCCAGAGGGCUCCUCGGCGAUGUCCCCAAAGGGGUCCCCACAUCCGUCCCCAGUGUCCCCAAAGGGGUCCCCAUAUCUGUCCCCGAUGUCCCCAAAGGGGUCCCCAUAUCCGUCCCCAAUGUCCCCAAAGGGGUCCCCAUAUGUGACCCCAAUGUCCCCAAAGGGGUCCUCGGAGGUGGCCCCGGCGAUGUCCCCGAUGUCCCCAGAGAAGCCCUUGGAAAUGUCCCCAGAGGGGUCUUCGGAAUUGUCCCCAACGUCCCCAAAGGGACCCCCAGAGGUGGCCCCGGAGAUGUCCCCACGGAGGCGCCCCGUGUCCCCAAAGGGGUCCCCGAAGGCGGCCCCGGAGAUGUCCCCACAGCGCUGUCAAAUGUCCCCAAAUGGCUCCUCGGAAGUGACCCCGAUGUCCCCAAAGGCGGCCGGGGAGAUGUCCCCAGAGAGGGGACACGUGUCCCCAAAUGGCUCCUCGGAAGCGUCCCCGAUGUCCCCAGAGGGGACCCCGGAGAGGCACCACGCGUCCCCAGAGCGCUCCCCAGGGGUCCCCCCCAUGUCCCCGUGUGGGUCCCCGAAAGUGGCCCCGGGGACGUCCCCAAAGGGGACCUCGGCUUUGUCCCCGGUGUCCCCAAAGGGCUCCUCGGAGAUGUCCCCAAGGGGCUCCUCGGAAACGUCUCAGAUGUCCCCAGAGGGGUCCUCGGAGGUGGCCCCGUUGUCCCCAGGGGGCUCCUCGGAGAUGUCCCCAAAUGGGUCCUCAGAAACGUCCCGGAUGUCCCCCAAGGGCUCCUCGGAAACGUCCCCCAAGGGCUCCUCGGAUGUCCCCCCCCCCGGGGCCCCCCCAAACGGGAGCUGGGGGCGGUGCCCCGGCGGGGACCCGGCGCGAUGUCCCCAAGGGUCCCCCCGAAGUUCCCCCGGGCGCUGCCCCGAGAAGUUCCCCAAGGGGUCCCCGAGGCGCUCCCCGAAGGGGUCCCCCCGAAAACCCCCGGACGCGUCCCCAAAGGGCUCCCCAAAGGGCUCCCCAAGACGGCGGCGAGAGACGUCCCCGCGAAGACCCCCGGACGCGUCCCCAAAGGGAUCCCCGCGGCGACGCCGAGAGGGGUCCCCAAAGGGCUCCCCAAGAAGAAGACCCCCCGAGACGCCCCCCAAGGGCUCCCCGAGACGCCGCCGAGAGGCGUCCCCGAGAAGAGCCCCCGAGACGCCCCCAAAGGGGUCCCCCAGGAGACCCCCGGAGCCGUCCCCG
Molecule: long non-coding RNA, 2477 nt
Organism: Numida meleagris (helmeted guineafowl)
Lineage: Eukaryota; Metazoa; Chordata; Aves; Galliformes; Numididae
Product: collagen alpha-2(I) chain-like
Source: Ensembl